Molecule: long non-coding RNA, 762 nt
Organism: Uranotaenia lowii
Lineage: Eukaryota; Metazoa; Arthropoda; Insecta; Diptera; Culicidae
Exons: 3
Source: RefSeq, a predicted model, not a curated record
CCGAUAUUUAUCCAUAUUUUUUUACUCUUGUCGUGUUCCAGACAAUGACUGUUAACAGGCAGUUCAGCGCCGACUUCGGCUCCGAUAAAUAUUGCCAGCUCUACUGACCAGACGAAUCACACUAACAGCAGCAGCCUCUACAUUAAAAUGUACAGCUCCUGUGGCAGUUCACAGUAUGUACAAUUCAUUCUACAAUGGCAGCUACAUCCCUAUUUCCCACGACGUGGCCCUGUUACUGAUCAAAUUUAUCAAUUGUUUUCGUGCGGUGGACACUUUGCACGAUGUUCUUACGAUUGAGAUUUUGAACAAGGAGAAAAUCAAGGAAUCUGUUCAUUACGAAAUUAUUUCAACCUCAAACAAAAUGAAAAUUAACGAGCCUAUUGAAAGAACCGUAUCGCGGAUGAGAUAUAAGAACUUAAAUAUUCUUCAAAGGAGGUCAUCAGGUUAUUCAUCAGAGUCAGGAGUACCUAUAUAUCACUCUAUCAACUGACGAACAAAUUACACAGUUGAAAGCUGGUAUUUUCACCUUAUUGCUGUUUGGGUCAUCGCCUCGGACACAAUGCGGCGAUAGUAACAUUAAAUCAGAAAUGGAGCUUCUUUCCGGUUUUAGCUUGGUUCACCUUCUCCCCUUAUUGCUUUGGCGAACAUAGCAGGGCAGCGAAUAAUUAUAUUCCGGCCAUAGUAGCAACCAAGUCUGGAGUAUACAAUGCUUUGAUGGAUUUCAAUAACUCUCCGAAAACGCUGUAGCUCAUCCAACGCUUC